UACGUAGGGGGCUAGCGUUGUCCGGAAUCAUUGGGCGUAAAGCGCGUGUAGGCGGCCCGUUAAGUCCGCUGUGAAAGUCCAGGGCUCAACCCUGGGAUGCCGGUGGAUACUGUCGGGCUCGAGUCCGGAAGAGGCGAGUGGAAUUCCUGGUGUAGCGGUGAAAUGCGCAGAUAUCAGGAAGAACACCAGUGGCGAAGGCAGCUCUCUGGGACGGUACUGACGCUGAGACGCGAAAGCGUGGGGAGCGAACAGG
RNAcentral lists this ribosomal RNA (253 nucleotides) under uncultured bacterium. Its description in RNAcentral is "partial 16S ribosomal RNA". It matches the Rfam family "Bacterial small subunit ribosomal RNA", at positions 524 to 776 of the family's 1533-position model. The record is from RNAcentral.